CUAAGCCAAUCAGCAUCAAGUAAACAUUCAUCUGUGUAGGAAAUUCAAAUGUAUGGAGAAGAAUCAUGUAAACAUAUGGCGGUUUCUGGAGCUCAUAUUUUGUGUGGAUAAACCUUUUUCCUUAUCAUUUGAAAGAUGACCAAUAUUGUGUCUGUGACAAAGAUGAGGAUCCUGUGACCAACAAGAUUUGAUGGGAAAGUUGGAAAGCUUAAAAGAACAUGCUAAAAAUGAUUACGUUCCCAGAUAGUGCAGAAAGAAUGAAGCAGAAUCCGACCAACAGCAGCAGAACUAAAUGGGGCGAUAACGGAACAAGGUUCAUUCUGUCGAAAACAUAUUAAACACAGAAUAUGAACUCUUAAAACAAUAAGUGAUAGUAAAAAUGUGUAAAAAAUAACAUUUUCAGCUGUGCCUUUAUUAAGAAAAUAUAUUAAACAAUGUUUUAUUGUCCUGUUUUCCG
Long non-coding RNA from Mya arenaria, 457 nucleotides. RefSeq lists it as uncharacterized. Lineage: Eukaryota; Metazoa; Mollusca; Bivalvia; Myida; Myidae. The record is from RefSeq and is a predicted model, not a curated record. The transcript is spliced from 3 exons.